GAUGAACGCUGGCGGCGUGCCUAAUACAUGCAAGUCGAGCGAACGGACGAGAAGCUUGCUUCUCUGAUGUUAGCGGCGGACGGGUGAGUAACACGUGGAUAACCUACCUAUAAGACUGGGAUAACUUCGGGAAACCGUAGCUAAUACCGGAUAAUAUUUUGAACCGCAUGGUUCAAAAGUGAAAGACGGUCUUGCUGUCACUUAUAGAUGGAUCCGCGCUGCAUUAGCUAGUUGGUAAGGUCACGGCUUACCAAGGCAACCAUGCAUAGCCGACCUGAGAGGGUGAUCGGCCACACUGGAACUGAGACACGGUCCAGACUCCUACGGGAGGCAGCAGUAGGGAAUCGUCCGCAAUGGGCGAAAGCCUGACGGAGCAACGCCGCGUGAGUGAUGAAGGUCUUCGGAUCGUAAAACUCUGUUAUUAGGGAAGAACAUAUGUGUAAGUAACUGUGCACAUCUUGACGGUACCUAAUCAGAAAGCCACGGCUAACUACGUG
RNAcentral lists this ribosomal RNA (497 nucleotides) under uncultured bacterium. RNAcentral describes it as "partial 16S ribosomal RNA". It matches the Rfam family "Bacterial small subunit ribosomal RNA", at positions 28 to 507 of the family's 1533-position model. The record is from RNAcentral.